This 27-nucleotide non-coding RNA is filed under the name Mus musculus (house mouse). Lineage: Eukaryota; Metazoa; Chordata; Mammalia; Rodentia; Muridae. The record is from RNAcentral.
UGAGGAAGCCANCCAUUCGUGCAGUGU